GACGAACGCUGGCGGCGUGCCUAAUACAUGCAAGUAGAACGCUGAAGAGAGGAGCUUGCUCUUCUUGGAUGAGUUGCGAACGGGUGAGUAACGCGUAGGUAACCUGCCUGGUAGCGGGGGAUAACUAUUGAAAACGAUAGCUAAUACCGCAUGAAAUGGAUUAUCGCAUGAUAAUUCAUUGAAAGGUGCAAAUGCAUCACUACCAGAUGGACCUGCGUUGUAUUAGCUAGUUGGUGGGGUAACGGCUCACCAAGGCGACGAUACAUAGCCGACCUGAGAGGGUGAUCGGCCACACUGGGACUGAGACACGGCCCAGACUCCUACGGGAGGCAGCAGUAGGGAAUCUUCGGCAAUGGACGGAAGUCUGACCGAGCAACGCCGCGUGAGUGAAGAAGGUUUUCGGAUCGUAAAGCUCUGUUGUAAGAGAAGAACGAGUGUGAGAGUGGAAAGUUCACACUGUGACGGUAUCUUACCAGAAAGGACGG
RNAcentral lists this ribosomal RNA (485 nucleotides) under Streptococcus sp. oral taxon 071. RNAcentral describes it as "bacterial SSU rRNA". It matches the Rfam family "Bacterial small subunit ribosomal RNA", at positions 28 to 495 of the family's 1533-position model. The record is from RNAcentral. Lineage: Bacteria; Bacillati; Bacillota; Bacilli; Lactobacillales; Streptococcaceae.